CGCUGUGAAUGAAUUUUUUCACCAUGCUACUCUGUAAACAGCAUAACAACCCAAAUGCCCUUGGCUGUAUACUCAUCUGCACCACACACACCAGUGAUGCCUGGAUUCCUCUAGAAUCUCCAGCUGCCAAAGAAAAAAAUACCAGAAGCCCAGUUGGUGGAAAGCCCAUCACUUACUCUAGGUGAUAGAAGUCUUCUGCACCAGUAAGGAUCAGGCUGCCCGUAAGUUGCCUGCAGUGUCUUUCAAUGAAUCUGUAUAUCAAGAGAUGCAUCCUAAAGAAAAGUUCAUAAGCACCACUUGCCUUUUGCUAUAUGGUC
RNAcentral lists this long non-coding RNA (317 nucleotides) under Gallus gallus (chicken). The record is from RNAcentral. Lineage: Eukaryota; Metazoa; Chordata; Aves; Galliformes; Phasianidae.